This 570-nucleotide ribosomal RNA is filed under the name uncultured fungus. RNAcentral's name for it is "eukaryotic LSU rRNA". The stretch from base 208 to 361 matches the Rfam family "5.8S ribosomal RNA". Lineage: Eukaryota; Fungi. The record is from RNAcentral.
CGUAACAAGGUCUCCGUAGGUGAACCUGCGGAGGGAUCAUUACACAAAUAUGAAGGCGGGCUGGAACCUCUCGGGGUUACAGCCUUGCUGAAUUAUUCACCCUUGUCUUUUGCGUACUUCUUGUUUCCUUGGUGGGUUCGCCCACCACUAGGACAAACAUAAACCUUUUGUAAUUGCAAUCAGCGUCAGUAACAAAUUAAUAAUUACAACUUUCAACAACGGAUCUCUUGGUUCUGGCAUCGAUGAAGAACGCAGCGAAAUGCGAUAAGUAGUGUGAAUUGCAGAAUUCAGUGAAUCAUCGAAUCUUUGAACGCACAUUGCGCCCUUUGGUAUUCCAAAGGGCAUGCCUGUUCGAGCCUCAUUUGUACCCUCAAGCUUUGCUUGGUGUUGGGCGUCUUGUCUCUAGCUUUGCUGGAGACUCGCCUUAAAGUAAUUGGCAGCCGGCCUACUGGUUUCGGAGCGCAGCACAAGUCGCACUCUCUAUCAGCAAAGGUCUAGCAUCCAUUAAGCCUUUUUUUCAACUUUUGACCUCGGAUCAGGUAGGGAUACCCGCCGAACUUAAGCAUAUCA